Molecule: non-coding RNA, 73 nt
Organism: Podarcis lilfordi (Lilford's wall lizard)
Lineage: Eukaryota; Metazoa; Chordata; Lepidosauria; Squamata; Lacertidae
Source: the annotation of a GenBank genome assembly
UACAUAGCUCAGUUGGUAGAGCAUGAGACUCUUAAUCUUGGGGUUGUGCAUUCAAGCCCCACAUUGGGCAAAA